CGGGACCAGCACCAGGGCGUUCAGCAAAGAUGCCGGCUCAUCCUGAGGAUGCCCAGCUCCCAGGGGCAGCGGCAGGUCCCCGAGGCAACGACACCAGGGAGGUGAAAAGACUGGGUGCACCGAUGGGUGAAUGAUGCUCAAGGCAAACACUUGCCAAAGAUAGGAAAAUGCCUCCCUGGAUACCAACAACAACACAGCCUGGAGAAAGGUGUUAACACUGGAUGAGCGACCCGGGGUCCUCACGUCGAGAGGAACAACCGGGACCCCAGUGCAGAGAAGCAUAGAGUGAGGGAAGACCAAUGGGACGCUGCUGGAGCCAAGCUUCUUGGCCUGUUGUCUGUUCAAUCUCUUCCUCACCUCACCCCAGCCUUGCUCUUCCCCAUGCCUCAGCCCCCUCAACUUUUUUCCAGCCCACCACAUCCCACCCCAGAUCUUGCCAUGCCCAGCCCCUCUAUUUGCACCCCAACCACCCUGCAGUUCCCCCUCUUUCCUUCUCACCCUCCUCUUUCCUAUCCCUUUCUGUACCCCACAUUGGCAGUGAAAUAAAUCUCUGUUGUUGAUUUGGA
This is a long non-coding RNA of Vidua macroura (Pin-tailed whydah), 566 nucleotides long. RefSeq lists it as uncharacterized. The transcript is spliced from 2 exons. NCBI's taxonomy places the organism in Eukaryota, Metazoa, Chordata, Aves, Passeriformes, Viduidae. The record is from RefSeq and is a predicted model, not a curated record.